This is a non-coding RNA of Notechis scutatus (mainland tiger snake), 881 nucleotides long. The record is from RefSeq and is a predicted model, not a curated record. NCBI's taxonomy places the organism in Eukaryota, Metazoa, Chordata, Lepidosauria, Squamata, Elapidae.
GUGGAUCGAGUGAUCUAUUUACUCUCAGCUCCCACCUUCUAAACGUUUUUCACAUGGGUUGGGAGGGGUCAGGGAGCCGUGCCCCCCUCCUCCCCCAGGACACCUGCCUGACUCUGCCUUUCCCAGGUGGCCCACCUCCGGGCGCACGUGCUCAUCCACACCGGGGAGAAGCCCUACCCGUGCGAGAUCUGCGGCACCCGUUUCCGGCACCUCCAGACGCUGAAGAGUCACUUGAGAAUCCAUACCGGAGAAAAGCCCUACCAUUGUGAAAAGUGCAACUUGCACUUCCGACACAAGAGCCAACUCCGGCUGCACCUCCGGCAGAAACACGGCGCCAUCACUAACACCAAGGUGCAGUACCGCCUGUCGUCCGUCGACGCUGUCCCGGAACUCUCCAAGGCGUGUUGAGGACUAGCGUCAUGAAAACGGCGGACGUCGCCCAGGAGAAGAGGCUCCUUCCGCGAAAGGGCAGGUGUGAGGCGGUCCAAAGGAUGCUUCGAUCACUUUAGGAGAAAAACAAAACAAAAGACAAAAAAACAACAACCCCAAACCCCGUUGUCGUUCUUGCUGUUUGUGUUGUCGUUGUCGUUACACACGUUGGAGUGCCUCGAGAAAGCCCGGAGCGAAAGGAAAAGACGGGGGUUUGUGCGAAACAGGGACACGUUUUACGUUCGGCUUACGUCGGUUCGGUUUUGUUUCCACACACCCCACCUCCCCAAGUUGUGUAAACUUUCACCGUCAGACUACUUGUGCGUGUGUGUGUGUGUGUGUGUGUGUGUGUACAAACAAAAGAGAGAAGGUCAGCGACCUUUCUUACAAUGUCCGUGCGGGAGAAUGUCAAAAAAUAUCGUGUUCCCCUCGGCCCACUCCCCGCGGGGGGG